AUUGAACGCUGGCGGCAGGCCUAACACAUGCAAGUCGGGCGAGCGGCGGACGGGUGAGUAAUGCAUGGGGAUCUGCCUGAUGGAGGGGGAUAACUACUGGAAACGGUAGCUAAUACCGCGUACCAUAGGAUGAGCCCAAGUGGGAUUAGGUAGUUGGUGGGGUAAAGGCUCACCAAGCCGACGAUCUCUAGCUGGUCUGAGAGGAUGACCAGCCACACUGGGACUGAGACACGGCCCGGACUACUCAGGGAGGCAGCAGUGGGGAAUAUUGCGCAAUGGGGGCAACCUGACGCAGCCAUGCCGCGUGAAUGAAGGAGGCCUUCGGGUUGUAAAGUUAUUUCGGUAGCGAGGCGUUAACUACAGAAGAAGCACCGGCUAACUCCGUGCCAGCAGCCGCGGUAAUAC
This 405-nucleotide ribosomal RNA is filed under the name uncultured bacterium. Its description in RNAcentral is "partial 16S ribosomal RNA". It matches the Rfam family "Bacterial small subunit ribosomal RNA", at positions 29 to 526 of the family's 1533-position model. The record is from RNAcentral.